RNAcentral lists this microRNA precursor (82 nucleotides) under Tursiops truncatus (common bottlenose dolphin). Its description in RNAcentral is "miRNA (ENSTTRG00000025318.1)". The record is from RNAcentral. Lineage: Eukaryota; Metazoa; Chordata; Mammalia; Artiodactyla; Delphinidae.
UAGGGUGACCAGUUGUGCUGGUUUGCCUGUGACUGAGGAGUUUCUGGGAUACAGGACUUUCAGUCCUAAAACCACGAAAGUC